GGGACCUUGGCGCAGUUGGCUAGCGCGCAGGUCUCAUAUAUCAAUAUGAUCUGAUUAAAACAUCAGAGUAAUCCUGAGGUCGUGAGUUCGAGCCUCACAGGUCCCA
Diplogelasinospora grovesii is the source of this 106-nucleotide non-coding RNA. The record is from the annotation of a GenBank genome assembly. NCBI's taxonomy places the organism in Eukaryota, Fungi, Ascomycota, Sordariomycetes, Sordariales, Diplogelasinosporaceae.